Molecule: non-coding RNA, 400 nt
Organism: Nicotiana tabacum (common tobacco)
Lineage: Eukaryota; Viridiplantae; Streptophyta; Magnoliopsida; Solanales; Solanaceae
Source: RefSeq, a predicted model, not a curated record
CUUUUUCUUUCUCUGCUCUAAAACACAAAGAGCACCAGCGGCUCUUUGCUUCAUCUUCUCAUCCAGGACAUGUAUCUCUUGAAAUAUAUGCUCCUGAAGUCAAGCGUUCAGAAGAAGUCAAGCAUUCUUUUUGAACAUUUCUAUGCUCGAGAUCAUCUUUAACAUACUGAUUUUUUAAUUCCAAUGAAACCUGAAGGUUUUGCCAGAUUAAAACUAGCGAGCGGAACUCAGAACAAAAUUUACUUACCAUGGUUGCAGAAGACUUAAAGCUCCUCUCCUCCUCUAUCAGUUCAAAUGGAGGCUUCUGGUAUUCUUGUCAUACCGCAUAUUCAUAGACUUCCUGAAGUUACGACAUUCUUAUUCUACUCAACCAGUUCAAGCAAGUAAAGAUGCUUAUUAA